CUGAGAGGCGGUGUGACCAGGCCAAAAUUGGCCGUCGAU
Molecule: unclassified non-coding RNA, 39 nt
Filed under: Sorangium cellulosum So ce56
Lineage: Bacteria; Pseudomonadati; Myxococcota; Polyangiales; Polyangiaceae
Description: sce_Cardiovirus_CRE_30
Source: RNAcentral